AAUUAAAGAAAUAUAAAUAUUAUAAACUUCUAAUUUAUAAAAUAGUGUAAUUUUUUAACAUUAAU
RNAcentral lists this transfer RNA (65 nucleotides) under Plectrocnemia sp. 1 YW-2021a. RNAcentral's name for it is "tRNA-Ser". Lineage: Eukaryota; Metazoa; Arthropoda; Insecta; Trichoptera; Polycentropodidae. The record is from RNAcentral.